RNAcentral lists this ribosomal RNA (498 nucleotides) under uncultured bacterium. RNAcentral describes it as "partial 16S ribosomal RNA". It matches the Rfam family "Bacterial small subunit ribosomal RNA", at positions 28 to 523 of the family's 1533-position model. The record is from RNAcentral.
GUUGAACGCUGGCGGCAUGCCUUACACAUGCAAGUCGAACGGUAACAGGUCUUCGGAUGCUGACGAGUGGCGAACGGGUGAGUAAUACAUCGGAACGUGCCUAGUAGUGGGGGAUAACUACUCGAAAGAGUGGCUAAUACCGCAUGAGAUCUACGGAUGAAAGCAGGGGAUCGCAAGACCUUGUGCUACUAGAGCGGCCGAUGGCAGAUUAGGUAGUUGGUGGGAUAAUAGCUUACCAAGCCGACGAUCUGUAGCUGGUCUGAGAGGACGAUCAGCCACACUGGGACUGGGACACGGCCCAGACUCCUACGGGAGGCAGCAGUGGGGAAUUUUGGACAAUGGGCGAAAGCCUGAUCCAGCAACGCCGCGUGCAGGAUGAAGGCCUUCGGGUUGUAAACUGCUUUUGUACGGAACGAAAAGCCCCGGGUUAAUACCCUGGGGUCAUGACGGUACCGUAAGAAUAAGCACCGGCUAACUACGUGCCAGCCGCCGCCGUAA